This is a non-coding RNA of Salvelinus sp. IW2-2015, 203 nucleotides long. The record is from RefSeq and is a predicted model, not a curated record. NCBI's taxonomy places the organism in Eukaryota, Metazoa, Chordata, Actinopteri, Salmoniformes, Salmonidae.
CUGUGGAAAGGUCUACGGUAAGACCAGUCACCUGAGAGCUCACCUCCGCUGGCACACAGGAGAACGACCCUUCGUCUGCAACUGGAUCUUCUGUGGCAAGAGGUUCACACGCUCGGAUGAACUGCAGAGACACAGACGGACACACACAGGUGAGAAGAGGUUUGAGUGUCCAGAGUGCAGUAAGCGUUUCAUGCGUAGCGACA